RNAcentral lists this long non-coding RNA (4043 nucleotides) under Homo sapiens (human). Its description in RNAcentral is "HSALNT0363574". The record is from RNAcentral. Lineage: Eukaryota; Metazoa; Chordata; Mammalia; Primates; Hominidae.
UCCAAUACAUUGUGGCUGAAUCCACUUCAAGUUGGGGUUUUUUUGGGGGUUUUUUUUGGUUGGGUUUUUUUUUUUUUUUUUGCCUCUCACAAAGGAGAAUCCCAGAUACCUAGAGGCCAGAGGUCCAGGGCGAUGGGUGGGCUGUGUCGGGGCCCGGCCCAGCCUGGCCUUCCGACAGCAUCCAGGCAGGCCCUCUUUCCCUCCACCGUCUUGGAUGGGCUUAAUUUAUUGUAGGAAACCCUUGAAGGCGCAGGAGCUUUUGGAGAGCCGGGGACAAUAGGCAUAAAGCAUGCAUUUAAGCCGUCUGAAUGGAGGCUAGAUUUACUGUCUGGGCCAGACGGGAUUUUUGUCCCCAAGUCAUCUCGGAGUACAUUGGCCACUAAAGAUCUCAACAGAAGACGAAGACGGAACAAAAGAAGUAAAUUUUAAAAGGAACUUUGUCAAGGAGUUUUAGAUGUUCACCAGAUAGAAAACCGCGGCUGCCCUCACCGAAAUGACUUUUGGAUUUGCCCAGUGGUUAUGGAUCAGAGGAAGAUGCUAAUGAAGUCGUUUAAAUGCACGUUUGAUGGACCCCAGAGAAUGGGACCAAUUUCAUACAAGCCCACAGCAAGGUUAAGGAAUGAAAGAAGGUGGCCGUUAGAGUUGCUGCCGGGGACAAGGCUCCAUUGUCGGGGCUGCCUUUUUCAGCCGUGAAGCGUGAAGCGUGUUUUGAACUACAGUGUUUACCAACGUGUACAUCCUAGUCUGGCCGACCGGGCCUGCAGAAUUUAUGACCAGGAACAAACCUCUUAGAGGGGAAAAGAAAACAGCUCUUACCAGCUGGGAAAGGAGCUCAGAUCAUGCCCUGGAGAAGCAGGUGACAUCGCGGAAUUUUCCUGUUCCAGAUGCCAGAAGUCUGAAAUGAAGGUGUAAAGCAGGGUGGUUCCUUCUGGAGGCUCUGAGAGAAUCACCCCAGGCCUCUCUCCAGCUUCUGGUGCUGGUAUUCUCAGGCUUGUAGGCGCAUCACCCAUGUCUGCCUCCAUCUUCACAUGGCCUUCUCCUCUGUGUCUGCCUGAAGUCUCCCUUCAUUUCUCUUUGCUGGCUUGUGUUUGACACCAUGCCUGACACAUUGGGGGUGCUCAGUAGACCUGUGUGAGAUGGACAGCCUCCCGUACAGAUGGACGGACAGAUGUACAGGUAGGUGAAUGAACUUUCGUUGCCCCUAAAGCAGGAGAGACUCUGAGUUUCUGAGACAACGGCCAAGAACUUUCUGAUAAGAUCUCUGCAUUUAAGGUUCAGAAAAACUCGAUGAGGACAAUAUUUUUCUCCCGAUUUUGCAGAUAAGAAAAUAGAGGCAUAGAGAAGUCACUUGCUAGUAAAUGUUAGAGGCAGCUUUCUAACCCAGGUCCAUGUGAACCCAGAAAAAGAGGCAGUGAGCACCUGUUCACCCAGGAGCAGCUCUCAGAAGAUAAGAUAAUACGAGGAGGAGGCAGCAGACCCCUAUGCCACGCGUCCACCUGGGGCUGUCCAUCACUUCCUGCAAGAUCUUGCUGGUAGCCAGAUUCUCAGAGACCCCCAGUGAGCCCCGCCUCCUGGUUUUCACACCCUGUGUAGUUUCCUUUCCCCAGGGAUGGUCCAAGUGACCAGCAGCCCGUGGCAGAAGUGAUGGAAUAGCACUUCCAAGCUUAGGUUAUGAAAGAUUGCAGCUUCAAUCUCCUGCCCCACACCCCGUCUCUCUCUCUAACCCCACUCCCUCCCUCCCUCUCUCAUCUCUGACUCUGGGGGAAGCACACUGCAGCCCCGUGGAGAUGCCCUGUGUAAGCCACUGAAGCCUCUGGCCAACAGCAGUGGGAACCUGAGACGUGUCCACAAGCAUGCAUGGGAGCUUGGAAGUGGAUCCUUCAGCCCCAGCCAAGCCUUCAGACGAUGCAGCCUCAGGGACAGUAUGACUGCAGCCUCAUGAGACCCUGAGCCAGAAACACCCCUCCAAGCCACUCCCAGAUGCCUGGCCCUCAGAACCUGGGAGGUAAUAAAUAUUUAUGGCUGUUUGAAGCUGCUGUAUCGGGGGACAAUUUGUUACACAGUAAUAGCUAACUGGUGCAGUCCUGGGACUCUUAGCAGUUUGGAGUAUCAGUUAUUUUGCCAAGGCGGGGAAGUUAACAGUGGUCAUUGCAGCAGCUGCACUUGGGGACCACAAUAAAGAAGCUUUCUCAGACUGGUUUGAACAAAGUGGUGAAUUCUCUGCAAGGACACAGAGGUGUCUCUCAAAACCCAAGGAUGGGACAGCAGGCCUCAAGAAGAACUGGAACCUCUGUCCCUUCUGUGCUUCUUUUUACUCCUGUGUUCUCUGCUUCUUGGAGCACUUGGCAGUUGGGAAGUGGCCAUUUCAAUUCUCGUGGUCAAGAAACCAGCUCAGAAAUAACCCAACCAACACAGGUGGGGUCAGGUGUCCAUCCUGGCUCCAUUUGUCAUGGCGGGAGAUGGUGAUGAAGAGAAACAUCCAGGACCAUUGGUAGGGCACCCGAAUGAGAUUCCAGGAGAGGCCAGUUCUAAGAGAAGGGUACUAGAAAGAUACCCAUUGAAGUCAAUACCACAUGUGGCACAUCCUCCUUUCAGGUGGCAAGUGUGUAGCCAAAGCAAGGUUCAGGGUCCAUAUUUGAAAGUCAGAAACUGAAUAAACUGUUUUCUCCCACCCCGAGCACUGUGGGGAACUCUGCUCACAAAUCCACCAUCCACCAUCACCAGCCGUGCUCAUCUGACCAUUCAUGCAGGCUCACACUUGACCUGAUGUGGGUUCUGUCUCCUUUGCUUGAGAAUUGAAAGGCCUGGGAGAUGCAAAAGCUUUAGGCUCCAGCCAUCUCCCCAUGUCAGGUAGGCCUUUUGCCUAGUGUAUCCAGUUGGUAAUGCUGCAGAGAUGCAUGAAGCUGGAGUCAGAGGCCACCUGUAGUGCUGCCCUGACUUCAGACCUGAGCCCAGCCCAGCAGCAGAGAGGGGGCUGGGAGCCAGAGGAGGCCUCACAGUAACAGCACAGACAGGUGGGGGCCCACAACAGGCCACAUGUGUUCAAACUCGAGUGUGGGCAGAGGAGCAUGGGAAGCUCAGAGCCCUGAGCUCACCCCACACCCAACACGAGUGGGGUCACCCAAAAUCAGCCUGUCAGCACUGUCCCAGCAGCCAGUCGCAUGCUACAUUAACAAAUUUUGCACAGGCCAGCAAGCAGGAUCGCUCACCAGCCACCCUCCUGAACUGGCCUAUGGGGCCCCAGGAUGAUGCCAUAGCCACAAGUCUGGAGUUCCUCAAAGUACCUGGUCAGCACAACUCAGUUAAACAAUGGGCAAAAGACCUGAACAGACACUUCGCCAGAGAAGAUGUACAGAUGCAAGUAAGCAUUUGAAAAGGUGCCCCACAUCGUAUGUCGUUAGGGAAUGGUCCAAUCCAGAACACUGAUGGCACCAAAGGCUGCUGAGCAUGUGGAGCAGCAGAACUCUCAUUCACUGCUGGUGAGAAAAAUGGCGCAGCCCCAAUAGGGAACCCUAAUGCAGACUCUGGACUUCACUGGAAAUGACGUGUCAGUGUAGCUGCGUCAGUUGUAACAAAUGCACCAGUCUGGUGGGCGUGUUGAUAACCGGGGCUGCGCACGUGGGGAGAGAGGACCUGUGGGAAUGCUCUACUUUCCACUCAUUUUUGCUGUGAACUUAAAACUGCUCUUACAAAAUAACAUUGUUUGUUGUUGUUGUUGUUGUUGUUGUUGUUGUUGUUUUUAAGUAUCUAGUCAGCUCCACACAUGACCCGGGCAGAGUGGGAAGUUGUAGAGUGCCCCAAGGAGAGAAAUGGAACCAGGUCUCAUGUGGGGCCAAGUGUGGGCUCCCUGUCCUCUCAGCUGGUCCCAGGAACUGAAGGGAAAUUUAGACAACUUGGAGAAAGACACUCUAGGGCUCGGGGCAAAGGGUGGUGUUGAUGAGAACCAUAUUUUUUUAUUGCUGGUGUAAGCACUUGUAUUUUUCUGAUUUUCCACUGGUUCGAUAAUAAGGGUAAAAGACAAUAAAGCAUACUUUUUAAGCUUU